GCUUUUUACUUUUCCAGGAUAUUAAAUUUUCACCAAUCAUUAUACAAUAUCCUAAAGUAGAUCGUCUAUAUGAUGGGAACUUGCCCAGUUUGCAUCUAAAUAUCCAACAAUUUGUGAGUGACAUUUAUCUUCAUAUAACAAACUUUGUCCUAGAGCUCGUUUAAUGUACUUGAGAAUACAAAUAACUGCAUCUCAAUGGCCACUGCAUAGUGCCUUGAGAAACUGACUAACCACACUCAUAGCAAAAGAAAUGUCAGGUCGUGUAAUUGUAAGAUAGUUGAGUUUACCAAUUAGUCUUCUAUAUCUUUCAGGAUUUUCUAAUGGCUCCCCCCGUCCAAGAACAAGUUUGACAUUCAGGUCCAUGGGAGUGUCUACAUGUCUACAGUCUAACAUCCCAAUCUCCUCCAAUAUAUCCAAAGCAU
Molecule: unclassified non-coding RNA, 422 nt
Filed under: Hevea brasiliensis (rubber tree)
Lineage: Eukaryota; Viridiplantae; Streptophyta; Magnoliopsida; Malpighiales; Euphorbiaceae
Source: RNAcentral